AGAGACAGCAGCAGCCGCGGGAAUACGUAGGGUGCGAGCGUUAAUCGGAAUUACUGGGCGUAAAGCGUGCGCAGGCGGUUGUGUAAGACAGGUGUGAAAUCCCCGGGCUUAACCUGGGAACUGCAUUUGAGACUGUAUGGCUAGAGUGUGUCAGAGGGGGGUAGAAUUCCACGUGUAGCAGUGAAAUGCGUAGAUAUGUGGAGGAGUACCGAUGGCGAAGGCAGCCCCCUGGGAUAACACUGACGCUCAUGCACGAAAGCGUGGGGAGCAAACAGGAUUAGAGACCCCCGUAGUCCCUGUCUCUUAUAC
Molecule: ribosomal RNA, 309 nt
Filed under: uncultured bacterium
Lineage: Bacteria
Description: partial 16S ribosomal RNA
Rfam family: Bacterial small subunit ribosomal RNA
Source: RNAcentral